RNAcentral lists this ribosomal RNA (460 nucleotides) under uncultured bacterium. Its description in RNAcentral is "partial 16S ribosomal RNA". It matches the Rfam family "Bacterial small subunit ribosomal RNA", at positions 338 to 795 of the family's 1533-position model. The record is from RNAcentral.
CCUACGGGAGGCAGCAGUGAGGAAUAUUGGUCAAUGGGCGGAAGCCUGAACCAGCCAAGUAGCGUGCAGGAUGACGGCCCUACGGGUUGUAAACUGCUUUUAUACGGGAAUAACGCGCCUUACGUUUAGGGCUUUGCAUGUACCGUAUGAAUAAGGACCGGCGAAUUCCUUGCCAGCAGCCGCGGUAAUACGGAAGGUCCGAGCGUUAUCCGGAUUGAGUGGGUUUAAAGGGAGCGUAGGUGGAUUGUUAAGUCAGUGUGGAAAGUUUGCGGCUCAACCGUAAAAUUGCAGUGGAAACUGGCAGUCUUGAGUACAGUAGAGGUGGGCGGAAUUCGUGGUGUAGCGGUGAAAUGCUUAGAUAUCACGAAGAACUCCGAUUGCGAAGGCAGCUCACUGGACUGCAACUGACACUGAGGCUCGAAAGUGUGGGUAUCAAACAGGAUUAGAUACCCGUGUAGUC